Molecule: unclassified non-coding RNA, 240 nt
Filed under: soil metagenome
Description: partial contains 5.8S ribosomal RNA, internal transcribed spacer 2, and large subunit ribosomal RNA
Source: RNAcentral
AACGCACGAGACCUGCGGACCUGCGGAAGGAUCAUCAAAGAAUCUUUUAAAGAAAAAUGAGUUGCCCUAAAAAAGCACUUGUUUUUCUUCAAACAAACGAUCACAACUAUUGAAAAAAUAUAAGGAUGAUUUGGUUGAGAAAUUGAUUUGGCUUGAAAUUAAACAAACAAGUGUUUGCCUGAUAAUCUUAUGACUUGGAAACAAGAGAGAAAGAAAUACAACUUUCAGCAACGGAUCUCU